GAUGAACGCUGGCGGCGUGCCUAAUACAUGCAAGUCGAGCGAACAGAUGAGGAGCUUGCUCCUCUGACAUUAGCGGCGGACGGGUGAGUAACACGUGGAUAACCUACCUAUAAGACUGGGAUAACUUCGGGAAACCGGAGCUAAUACCGGAUAAUAUAUUGAACCGCAUGGUUCAAUAGUGAAAGACGGUUUUGCUGUCACUUAUAGAUGGAUCCGCGCCGCAUUAGCUAGUUGGUAAGGUAACGGCUUACCAAGGCAACGAUGCGUAGCCGACCUGAGAGGGUGAUCGGCCACACUGGAACUGAGACACGGUCCAGACUCCUAAGGGAGGCAGCAGUAGGGAAUCUUCCGCAAUGGGCGAAAGCCUGACGGAGCAACGCCGCGUGAGUGAUGAAGGUCUUCGGAUCGUAAAACUCUGUUAUUAGGGAAGAACAAAUGUGUAAGUAACUAUGCACGUCUUGACGGUACCUAAUCAGAAAGCCACGGCUAACUACGUG
This 497-nucleotide ribosomal RNA is filed under the name uncultured bacterium. RNAcentral describes it as "partial 16S ribosomal RNA". It matches the Rfam family "Bacterial small subunit ribosomal RNA", at positions 28 to 507 of the family's 1533-position model. The record is from RNAcentral.